GACGAACGCUGGCGGCGUGCUUAACACAUGCAAGUCGAGCGGUAAGGCCCUUCGGGGUACACGAGCGGCGAACGGGUGAGUAACACGUGGGUGACCUGCCCUCAGCUCUGGGAUAAGCCUGGGAAACCGGUCUAAUACCGGAUAUGACUCCAUGACGCAUGUUGUGGGGUGGAAAGCCUUGUGCGGCUGAGGAUGGGCCCGCGGCCUAUCAGCUUGUUGGUGGGGUGAUGGCCUACCAAGGCGACGACGGGUAGCCGGCCUGAGAGGGCGACCGGCCACACUGGGACUGAGGCACGGCCCAGACUCCUACGGGAGGCAGCAGUGGGGAAUCUUGCGCAAUGGGCGAAAGCCUGACGCAGCGACGCCGCGUGAGGGAUGACGGCCU
RNAcentral lists this ribosomal RNA (385 nucleotides) under uncultured bacterium. RNAcentral describes it as "bacterial SSU rRNA". It matches the Rfam family "Bacterial small subunit ribosomal RNA", at positions 28 to 417 of the family's 1533-position model. The record is from RNAcentral.